AUAAAAUGUACGUGCAAAUGCACGUAAUAAUUAUUAGAAAAAGUUAUAAUUUUUUAAAAUUAUUUUUUAAUUUUAGGUAUAUUUUAUAUGAUUGCCAAAUAUGUAUCUAAAAAAUUUAAAAUAACAAAUCACGCUAUUAAGAAAGAUAUGCUUUAAAUGAUAAGUAAUUAACAAUAAUUUCUAAUGCAAAAAUUACUUUUGAAAUUAAAUAGAAAAAUUUAUAUUUUAAGAUUUUCACAUCAGUAAUCUGUUAUAGAGAACUUUCUAUUUCUAUUUUUAUUCUUAUAUUUAAAAUUUUUCAAACGGAAAGAGAAAAAUGGGCGCUAAUUUUUCCGUCGAAAAAUAGGUCUGUCGACAGACCCAAAUUUGAAUAUACAUACUUUUAUGUAUAGUAUAGAUAUGUAAAUUA
Molecule: long non-coding RNA, 409 nt
Filed under: Ananas comosus (pineapple)
Lineage: Eukaryota; Viridiplantae; Streptophyta; Magnoliopsida; Poales; Bromeliaceae
Description: long non-coding RNA (ACOM_LNC032855)
Source: RNAcentral